GAUGGGGAGAAGACAUUGUGUCUUCGAGUCGUUGAUUUCACACUGCCGAGAAAAGCCUCUAGAUAGAAAAUAGGUGCCCGUACCGCAAACCGACACAGGUAGUCAAGAUGAGAAUUCUAAGGUGAGCGAGCGAACUCUCGUUAAGGAACUCGGCAAAAUGACCCCGUAACUUCGGGAGAAGGGGUGCUCUUUAGGGUUAACGCCCAGAAGAGCCGCAGUGAAUAGGCCCAAGCGACUGUUUAUCAAAAACACAGGUCUCUGCUAAACCGUAAGGUGAUGUAUAGGGGCUGACGCCUGCCCGGUGCUGGAAGGUUAAGAGGAGUGGUUAGCUUCUGCGAAGCUACGAAUCGAAGCCCCAGUAAACGGCGGCCGUAACUAUAACGGUCCUAAGGUAGCGAAAUUCCUUGUCGGGUAAGUUCCGACCCGCACGAAAGGCGUAACGAUUUGGGCACUGUCUCAACGAGAGACUCGGUGAAAUCAUAGUACCUGUGAAGAUGCAGGUUACCCGCGACAGGACGGAAAGACCCCGUGGAGCUUUACUGUAGCCUGAUAUUGAAAUUCGGCACAGCUUGUACAGGAUAGGUAGGAGCCUUUGAAACGUGAGCGCUAGCUUACGUGGAGGCGCUGGUGGGAUACUACCCUAGCUGUGUUGGCUUUCUAACCCGCACCACUUAUCGUGGUGGGAGACAGUGUCAGGCGGGCAGUUUGACUGGGGCGGUCGCCUCCUAAAAGGUAACGGAGGCGCUCAAAGGUUCCCUCAGAAUGGUUGGAAAUCAUUCAUAGAGUGUAAAGGCAUAAGGGAGCUUGACUGCGAGACCUACAAGUCGAGCAGGGUCGAAAGACGGACUUAGUGAUCCGGUGGUUCCGCAUGGAAGGGCCAUCGCUCAACGGAUAAAAGCUACCCCGGGGAUAACAGGCUUAUCUCCCCCAAGAGUUCACAUCGACGGGGAGGUUUGGCACCUCGAUGUCGGCUCAUCGCAUCCUGGGGCUGUAGUCGGUCCCAAGGGUUGGGCUGUUCGCCCAUUAAAGCGGUACGCGAGCUGGGUUCAGAACGUCGUGAGACAGUUCGGUCCCUAUCCGUCGUGGGCGUAGGAAAUUUGAGAGGAGCUGUCCUUAGUACGAGAGGACCGGGAUGGACAUACCUCUGGUGUACCAGUUGUCGUGCCAACGGCAUAGCUGGGUAGCUAUGUGUGGACGGGAUAAGUGCUGAAAGCAUCUAAGCAUGAAGCCCCCCUCAAGAUGAGAUUUCCCAACUUCGGUUAUAAGAUCCCUCAAAGAUGAUGAGGUUAAUAGGUUCGAGGUGGAAGCAUGGUGACAUGUGGAGCUGACGAAUACUAAUCGAUCGAAGACUUAAUCAA
RNAcentral lists this ribosomal RNA (1358 nucleotides) under Staphylococcus aureus. RNAcentral describes it as "partial 23S ribosomal RNA". It matches the Rfam family "Bacterial large subunit ribosomal RNA", at positions 1564 to 2925 of the family's 2925-position model. The record is from RNAcentral. Lineage: Bacteria; Bacillati; Bacillota; Bacilli; Caryophanales; Staphylococcaceae.